GACGAACGCUGGCGGCGUGCUUAACACAUGCAAGUCGAACGGUGAAAGCGGAGCUUGCUCCGCUGGAUCAGUGGCGAACGGGUGAGUAACACGUGGGCAACCUGCCCCUCACUUCGGGAUAACUCCGGGAAACCGGGGCUAAUACCGGAUACGACCUCCUUGGGCAUCCUUGGAGGUGGAAAGUUUUUCGGUGAGGGAUGGGCCCGCGGCCUAUCAGCUUGUUGGUGAGGUAGUGGCUCACCAAGGCGACGACGGGUAGCCGGCCUGAGAGGGCGACCGGCCACACUGGGACUGAGACACGGCCCAGACUCCUACGGGAGGCAGCAGUGGGGAAUAUUGCGCAAUGGGCGAAAGCCUGACGCAGCAACGCCGCGUGCGGGAUGAAGGCCUUCGGGUUGUAAACCGCUUUCAGCAGGGAAGAAGCCGCAAGGUGACGGUACCUGCAGAAGAAGCACCGGCUAACUACAUGCCAGCCGCCGCAGUAA
RNAcentral lists this ribosomal RNA (485 nucleotides) under uncultured bacterium. RNAcentral's name for it is "partial 16S ribosomal RNA". It matches the Rfam family "Bacterial small subunit ribosomal RNA", at positions 28 to 523 of the family's 1533-position model. The record is from RNAcentral.